RNAcentral lists this ribosomal RNA (474 nucleotides) under uncultured organism. Its description in RNAcentral is "partial 16S ribosomal RNA". It matches the Rfam family "Bacterial small subunit ribosomal RNA", at positions 332 to 797 of the family's 1533-position model. The record is from RNAcentral.
UACACUCCUGCGGGAGGCAGCAGUGGGGAAUUUUGGACAAUGGGCGAAAGCCUGAUCCAGCAAUGCCGCGUGAAUGAAGAAGGCCUUCGGGUUGUAAAGCUCUUUUGUCAGGGAAGAAACGGUGAGAGCUAAUAUCUUUUGCUAAUGACGGUACCUGAAGAAUAAGCACCGGCUAACUACGUGCCAGCAGCCGCGGUAAUACGUAGGGUGCAAGCGUUAAUCGGAAUUACUGGGCGUAAAGCGUGCGCAGGCGGUUUUGUAAGUCUGAUGUGAAAUCCCCGGGCUCAACCUGGGAAUUGCAUUGGAGACUGCAAGGCUAGAAUCUGGCAGAGGGGGGUAGAAUUUCACGUGUAGCAGUGAAAUGCGUAGAUAUGUGGAGGAACACCGAUGGCGAAGGCAGCCCCCUGGGUCAAGAUUGACGCUCAUGCACGAAAGCGUGGGGAGCAAACAGGAUUAGAAACCCCUGUAGUCCCA